This is a long non-coding RNA of Alexandromys fortis (reed vole), 1594 nucleotides long. RefSeq lists it as uncharacterized. The record is from RefSeq and is a predicted model, not a curated record. Lineage: Eukaryota; Metazoa; Chordata; Mammalia; Rodentia; Cricetidae. The transcript is spliced from 3 exons.
CGUGUGCUCUGGUCCAAGAAUCUGUUAGCAAUCCACAGAGUCGAAUAUGUUACUGUCUUAUUUGGAAGCAUGGAAUUUAGAAGCUGGCAGAAGCCCGGGAGGUAGGCAGGCAUGAGUUGUAAAACAAGAGCAAGAGGACUUUUGGGCUCACUCUUGCUCAACUGCUCCUAAUGUAGUCUUCACAGUGUGGGACUGAAAAUCAAGCAGGGGAAAAAAAAAAAAAAGCCAUCUCUUAAGCCUGGUGGUCAGCAGCAACAGAAGACAGAAUGGGACUCAGUCUGCUCCUCUCUCCACUGAAAGCUUUCAGAGCGGCCGCGAAAAUCCCUGCAUGUCAGAGAAGGGCGGACACGACUGUGUGGCUGAGAGGCAGAAGGGGAGCCGUCCCAGGUAACAGCUGCAGCUGGCUUGUUUCCAUCAAACCUACAUCGUGCGAAAGCAAUCCUCCUCCUCGGGAGCCGGAUGGGAGACAACGCGGGACCCAAAGGAACGGAACUUUGCGCCACUGUAAACAGAGGAAAGAGUGUCAGUAAAUGGCCAAACCCUCAGGGCUGGGUAGACAGGCUUGCUGGCAGCGGAGCCUCAGAGAGAAACUCAAACAAAAACAUGAGAACAAAGAUCCUGAGAUGACCCAAGUUUGAGUGGUGGAGAUAAUCCCGAGCUACAAAACGGGAAGGGGAAGGCGUUGUUCAAAUGCCAAAUGUUCCCCAUGGGCUCCUGUUGAAAUCUUGGUCCCGGGCUGGUGUCGCUAUUCUGGGAGGUGUUGGAAACUCUGAGGACUGGGACCUAGGUGGAGGAAGUAGAAGGCAGAUACUAGCUCUUUUCACUUUCUUCUCGCUGAAGAACCGUGGACUCUAUGGCCACCACCUCUGGACUUAGGUACACUGAAUCAACACACUGAACCAGCAACCCCAAGCCCAGAAGGGUGGAGCACCCUGUCAUCCUGGAAGAAAAGCAGCUUACCUUCUGAAGCAGGAGCAUUUGCCAAUGGAUUCCUUUAAAUAACCAAUGCCUUGCAUGUUUAAGAGAAGUCAUGAUUGACAAGAGCAUGACACAGAGCAGAGCUUUUUUGGAAACACAUCCCAUCCGUGUCGUUUGGGUGGCCUUGCCGGAUGAGCACAGUGGUGAUCCAGCAGAAGCAAGGCUGCACUGAAACAGCAUCUCUAGACUCAAAGUGAAACGGAAUCCUCUUUGGAUGCCCAACUUCUGGCUCAAGCGGUCUACACUUGAGUCUCACGGUCUCUUCUGCAGCUGGUGCUUGCUUGGUUAGAUUUGUCCUGCAGCUCAAAGGAUUGAUGUGAGCAUUAGAUAGGAUAAUGUAUUAAAUGUGAUGUGUAGCACCCUUCCUGCCUGCCACUUACUAAGUUAUUAACUGCUAUUGAUAACUGCUAGAUGGACAGGAUGCCGUCCCAAUGCCCAGGAAAUAGGAGAGCAGAUGUCUUGUUCUAUUCUAAUUACAUGAUCCACAAACCAGGCAAAGACUCCAAACACAGCUUCUAAUUAUCUAGUUAGCACGGAAGAACAAUCUAUAUUAGAUUAAAUUCCAAACAGCGACUUUCGGCCAAUAUAUCCUUACAUUCCCAACGUUCUAUUUUCC